GAAGCUUAUAUCUAUCUGUAUUCUAGUAAUCUAUUGAUAUCUUGAAGUGUCCUAAACACUUCUAAGAUUGCAAAGUAUAUCAUACCUGUGAAUUCAUGUCCAGAUAUGAAGAUUAGUUUGAAUGCAUUGUUUGUUAGACACUGCUAUGUGAUGUCAUCGUAAGUUCAUUUGAACCUCCUUCCUUAUUUGUUGCUUUCAUCCUGUCUUCUCGUUCCCUUUUAUUCUUACUACAUAAUUUACACUUAAGUUGUUCAUAUAUGCUGCGUAAUUCAUUGAAAUAAUUCAAACUGAAGUCUUCCUUUUUUCUUUGCAGCGGCAUGUCUCUGAUUUCUAUAUCUCUGAUUUCCAGUCUGGAUUAAGGGCUUUGGUCAAAACUGGGUAUGGUGCAAGAGUAACCCCUUAUGUCGAAGAGUCUAUCGUUGUGGAUAUUGAUCAAUCAAAUAGGGACAUGUCACCUGAAUUUGUCAGAUGGCUGGCACAGAGAAAUCUGUCCAGUGAUGACCGAAUAAUGCGAUUGAAAGAAGGGUAAGAUUUAACUCAACUUCAAUGAAACUUGAAUAUUUCUUCUGCUUGAGUUCUUUGAUUAAUAAUAGACUACAUUCUCAAUCAUAUCUAGAUGCUGUCUCUACCCUCUACAGUUUAAUUAUUGGUGAAUGUAUUUUUUAGUUUUUUUUUUAAACCCCUUCCAUGCAUGUUGUUCUCAGUUUAGUUUUUCCUCUCCUGCGUCUUUGUUCAGGUAUAUAAAAGAAGGUAGCAGUGUCAGUGUAAUGGGAGUUGUCCAACGGAAUGAUAACGUUCUGAUGAUUGUUCCUCCUCCAGAGCCAUUUUCAACAGGAUGUCAGUGGGCUAAAUGCAUUCUUCCAGCCAGUCUGGAGGGCAUCGUUUUGAGAUGUGAGGACAGUUCAAAGAUUGAUGUCAUUCCAGUGUAGCACUUUUAUCAUUCAAGAAGGUGUUUUUGUUUUAUUAUGUUGGAAAACCUUCUUCCGAUGGCAACAGGAAUGGCAUCUUCACUCAGUUAACCAGAUGUAUUGUUUGUCGAUUUGAUUUAAUUUUUUUGUAAUGUCUAUACUUGCUGUAAUGGUGUUGGUGUCAUCAAUUGUGUAGAGGCAACAUGUUGAUACUGAAGAUUUUUGAGAGAGUUGUUAUUGCUAGAAAGUCAGAUACUUGUGUUAUCGUUGGGGGCUUUACAAAAACAAAACAUUAUAGCCCAAUGGAUACAAGAUGAUGUGUAUUUGGUAUUAGUUAUUCUUUUGUGGCCACUUAGCCAUUCUCAAUGCUGUUCUUGCAAAUGAACCUCCACUGCUCCAGCAUUGCGUGCUUACUUUGCGUGUUCAGAAUCUUGGAAAUUCAACGAUAAGAAUGCUUGCUACCGAUACUUGAAAAUAUACUGGACGAGUGAUGUCCAUGCUAAGCACGGGCCCAACAUAUUAGUGUUGAUACAUUUUACCUAAUAAAGCUAUUAUGUAGCCACCUAAAUCCAGAUAUAAUAAACUAGUACAACAGCACAGAGAAGUUGUUAGAAUAGUUCUCCAUCUUGUAAAUUAUCAAAGUGAAAAAAAAAUAAUCACAAAUAUCUAUCUUUACUUCUGAAAAAUUUCGGGAGAGACGACAUUUAUUUUCAAGAGUUAGCUUAUAAAUAAAAAGUCCUAACAAAAGUUACUGCCCUUUUUGAUAUUGUAGAUCCGCAGGUUUCAUGAGAAAUAACUUUUCUAUCUUUUUCAAAGAUAAAAGUUAGGCUGAUACACAUCACUCAUUCCAAAUUUCACUUAUGAAAUUAGAUCCGCCAUUUUUGUCGAAAAUAAUUGUUCUAUCUUCUCAAGAAUAGAAGUAAGGCCAAUAUACAUUACUCUCUCCAAAUUUUAGUUACGAAAUUAGAUUAAGUAUAUUGUUAAUAUAAUACCUUUAAAAGAACGAAUUAAAUGAAUAACUUUACCUAUCAAAAUUUAAAUAGGAUCACCUACUUACAAAAUGUUUUUAUCUUGAGCCGAAGGUCGAUCAGAAACAUUAUUCAAGGUUGUUGUGUUUUUAGAAGUUUUGAGUGGUAUAGAUGAGAAAUAUGAGGGGAGACAAAAGGUACUCUAGAGAGAGAGAGAGAGAGAGAGGAGUAGGAGAGCAGCAAAAUAAAGGAAGGUGGAGGGUCUGUUUUCAGUUUCCACUAUUAUUUCCCCAUCAAAGAAAGCAAUACCAACAAGCACUGUCCAAACCCAGUCUGUUGAUCCAUCAAUCACACUUUCAACUCAUUUUCUUACUUUAGGUAAAAUGCAACUCUCUCAUCUUACCUUUUCUCUUGCAAAAUGUUUAGGGUUUGUGAUCUCUAGCUAAAAAUGUCCUUUGCUCAUUCUCUGGGAUUUCAACAAAUUGGUAACCAGAUCUAUAAUAUAUGUCAUUUUAUUGCUAAUUGACAACUUAAAUCUCUCUACAUUUGCCCCAACUCAUUAUUUAACUGUGAAUUUUAGUAUAUAUGAAUCAACUUAUUGGAAGCUAUACUUUUGUAAUUGAUCUGUCAAGUAUGUGGGAAUAGAUUAUGUUUUAAACUGGUAACCAGAUCUAUAAUUUAUGAUCAAUGUAUGUCAUGCUACUGUACUGUUAUCCCUCUUUCUGUUACUGUUAUUGCUGAAUGAAAAAUCAAAUAUUUGUGCAUUUGCCACACUUCUUCCUUUAAGUCAUUUAGUUGUGAUUUUCUUGAAUAAAUUUGUUGCUUGUAUCUGGAAUUUGUCUCCUUUUGUUAUUGUUGGUGUAUGAAUUGGAAGCUAUACUUUUGUGAGUAAUUUGAUUGAAUUUCCUGUAAAGUCAAGUAUGUGGGAAUAGAUGAUGUUCUAAAGUGGAUCAGUUUGUUUGAUGUGCUUUUUUAACAAUGAUGCACUAUUUACUUCUGUCUAAUAAAGAACAGUAUUUUUUAUUGAAAUAGGUACAACCACACUGCUGGAUACGGUGAGGGAAGGUGAUUUUUAGAGCCUGCUAACAAGUUUUUGUUCAAGGGUGUUAGGGACUGUCUUUGUGUAUUGUCAUUGGGCAUCUGCUGAUAGUUAGGUUGGUGUUAUGGGUUCUCGAUUCCCAUCUCAUCAGUUGAGUAGUGGCCUUUAUGUAUCUGGCCGGCCUGAGCAGCCAAAAGAAAAGACCCCCACUAUGAGCUCAGUUGCCAUGCCUUAUACUGGAGGGGAUAUUAAAAAGUCUGGAGAACUUGGAAAAAUGUUUGUUACCCCAGCGGAUGGCUCAAGGUCGCGGAAGUCUGGACCGAUCAACAGCAAUGCCCCGAUGAGAACAGGGUCCUUUAGUGGUGCUACUUCUCAUUCAGGUCAACUUAAUUCAGGCAAUCGUAUGACUUCUGGUGGUGCUCCUGGAUAUGUUUCUAUGAAAAAGACCAACUCUGGGCCUUUGAAUAAACAUGGGGAGCCUAUGAAGAAGUCCUCUGGUCCUCAAGCUGGAGGAGGUAAUGUUUCGUCCCGCCAAAAUUCUGGCCCUAUCCCACCAAUUCUCCCUACCACAGGCCUUAUUACAUCUGGUCCUCUAAAUUCUGCUGGAGCUCCUCGUAAAGUGUCAGGUCCCUUGGAUUCAACAGGGUCAAUCAAGCUGCAAAAUUAUUCUGUAGUUAAUAACCAAGCUGUUACUCGCAUCAACCAAUGUGACGAAUACUCCUUCCGCAAGAGCUUCCCAAAGACAAUAUUUUGGUCCAUCAUUCUUUUAUUUUUGAUGGGAUUUAUUGCUGGUGGCUUUAUCCUUGGUGCUGUUCACAAUCCCAUUCUCCUCGUAGUUGUUGUUGUACUAUUUGCUAUAGUCUGUGUGGUGUUCACCUGGAAUACUUGCUAUGGAAGAAAAGCUAUCAUUGGUUUCAUUUCUCAGUAUCCAGAUGCUGAGCUUAGAACUGCAAAAGAUGGCCAAUUUGUUAAAGUUUCUGGGGUAUGUAUUGUCUUUGGCGACACCUUUGUGUGUACUUCCUUUGUUGCACUUCCUAUCUCAUUCUAUAAAAUAAAUAGCUACUACUAUUCUCACCUAUCAAAUAAGAAAAUAGCUACUACAACUCUCAUUUGUCAUAGUUAUGCUCUCUUUACUAAUGACCGGUGACAUGUGAACUUGGUAGAGUAGUUAUGAUUUCCAUUUCUUAAAGUUGAUCUUGAACUCGGGUAUUGCUGUUAGUUCAGAUAAGUGCUUGAUUUGGAGUUAUCAUUAAUGGUUUAUUCAACUCUUGAUUUAAUUUGUGUCUUGAAUAGAUGCUUUAGUGUUAAACCAUUAAAAAAUUGCUACUCAGUGGAGUAUCAUGGUUUCUAUUGUGUUUAUGAGACUGCUAGUGAUUAACUCAAGUUCUCUUUUCACUUUAGGUGUAUAAUUUUGUGGUGAAACAAAUUCUUUCAAUUGCUUUGCUAAAAGAUAUAAUGUUUAAAAUAUCAAAACUUAAGAGAUGUCCUUUGUGUAAUGUAGAAUUGCAAUUGAAAAGACCUAUGAAAUUUCAAUAUAGUCUUCCAAUAUAACAAUUGUUUGCAUACACUCCACCCUCCCCAAACCCCAUUUGUGGGAUCACACUGGGUAUGUUGUUGUAGGCACUUCUAACUUUGGCUUUAUGAGCUUAAAAUACUCUACCUAAUGUUAUCAGUAACUUGCUUAGAUUUAAUAUAUAUUUUUUGUUUUGUAUGUUGUUCUUGUUGUAUUUUGAUUCCAUUUUGGAUCUUUCAAUGUUUUUAUAGGUAGUUACCUGUGGAAAUGUCCCUCUUGAAUCAUCGUUUCAGAAGGUUUCUAGAUGUGUAUAUACAGUCACAAGCUUAUAUGAGUACCGAGGGUGGGAUUCAAAAUCUGCCAACCCAGAACAUCGUCGGUUUUCUUGGGGUCUUCGUACGCUGGAGGUAAGGAAAGACUAUAUAAGUUCUCUUCAUUUAGAAAGAAACCAAUGUUGCUGUGCGUUCCUCCUUGCAGUGGUGGCCCAUGAUGAUGGAAACUAAUUAAUGCUAUACGAAUAUUGCUUAAUUUUCUAAUGCUUUCUUUUGUGUUUCAUGGAAUGUGUUCGAGGAUAUUUGUUAUGCUGUUUAUCUUCUUUUUUUUUUCUACUGAAAAGCUUUAAGGAGAGAUUUCGAGGUCUCUAAAUUCAGCAGCUAGACAUUAAUUGAAAAAGGGUCACUCACUCACUUGGUGCACGAACCAUCCCGCAUUCAUGAACGAUCGAGGGAAAGGCUGCACCCCAAGGCUGUGUAAUGUAGACAACCUACCUAACACAAGCAUCAACAGCUAGACUUUAAGUCGAAGAAAAUAACAGAUAUCAUAGAGUUGAGAAAACAAAAAACACUGACAAAGAUUUGGGCUUGUCUGGAAUUGUAAGCAUGUCUCACUGCUUUAACAGUUUUCAACAUCGAGAGUUCCUUGUUCGUAAUAAGAGUUAUAUGGAAUGUGUGAAAUAUAAUCUGAAUAAGGAAAGAAUAACAAUAGGGACAAAAGUAAGCUCAAGGAAUCUUCUAAAUCUAACAUAAUAAAGCAACAACGCUUCUCAGAUUUGAGAUAAAGUCGUAAAAUCUCUGCGCCUUUGAAAAAGUCUUACAGACGAGAUAAGUUAAAAAGUAAAUGUCACUUAAUAGGAAGGCUCCAACUUAAAGAGAACUAUCUAAUUCUUGUUUAUAGGGAUAAGUAGGAAUCCUAAUGCCCUUUUUACUGGAUGUGUUUUAAGCUUACCGCAAAUAACUUAUCACCAUGCUAUAAUGGAUUUUUUUUUGAAUUCCAGCUUAUAGAAAACAGUUUAUCUGUGUUUUGAGGUAAACCAAUCAAAGCAUACUUCAAAGCACUGUUCCAACUAACCGAUGGAAAAGUUCUAGGCAGAGGGACAGAAUGAGGCUUAUAUGUAUUUGUAUUCUAGAAAACUAUUGAUAUCUUGAAGUGUUCUAAAGACUUCUAAGGUUGCAAAGUAUGUCAUAUCUGUGAGUUCAUGUCCAGAUAUCAAGAGAAGUUUGAAUGCUUUGUUUGUUUGAUACUGCUAUGUGAUGUGAUGUCAUUGUACGUUUAUUUGAAUCUCCCUUUUCUUGUUUGUUGCUUUCAUCCUGCUCUUCUCGUUCCCUUUUAUUUUUACCACAUAAUUUACACUUAAGUUGUUCAUAUAUGCUGUGUAAUUCAUUGAAAUAAUCCUUACAGAAAACUGAAGUCUUCUUUUGUCUUUGCAGCGGCAUGUCUCUGAUUUCUAUAUCUCUGAUUUCCAGUCUGGAUUAAGGGCUUUGGUCAAAACUGGGUAUGGUGCAAGAGUAACCCCUUAUGUUGAAGAGUCUAUUGUUGUGGAUAUUGAUCAAUCAAAUAGGGACAUGUCACCUGAAUUUGUCAGAUGGCUGGCACAGAGAAAUCUGUCCAGUGAUGACCGAAUAAUGCGAUUGAAAGAAGGGUAUGGUUUAACUCAACUUCAAUGAAUCUUGAAUAUUUCUUCUGCUUGAGUUCUUUGAUUAAAUAACAGACAACAUGCUCAAUCAUAUCUAGAUGCCUGCUUUGAUUAAUGUAUAUAUUAUUACUUUUUUAUCCCUGCCAUGCAUGUUGUCCUCAGUUUGGUUUUUCCUCUCCCAAAUCUUU
This 6528-nucleotide long non-coding RNA is filed under the name Solanum tuberosum (potato). RNAcentral's name for it is "long non-coding RNA (STUB_LNC011276)". Lineage: Eukaryota; Viridiplantae; Streptophyta; Magnoliopsida; Solanales; Solanaceae. The record is from RNAcentral.